This 590-nucleotide ribosomal RNA is filed under the name uncultured bacterium. RNAcentral's name for it is "bacterial SSU rRNA". It matches the Rfam family "Bacterial small subunit ribosomal RNA", at positions 894 to 1482 of the family's 1533-position model. The record is from RNAcentral.
CUGAAACUCAAAGGAAUUGACGGGGGCCCGCACAAGCGGUGGAGCAUGUGGUUCAAUUCGACGCAACGCGAAGAACCUUACCUGGGCUCGAAGCGCAGUGGAAUCCGGUGGAAACAUCGGCGCCCCGCAAGGGGCCGCUGCGGAGGUGCUGCAUGGCUGUCGUCAGCUCGUGUCGUGAGAUGUUGGGUUAAGUCCCGCAACGAGCGCAACCCUUAUCCCUAGUUGCCAUCGGGUCAAGCCGGGCACUCUAGUGAAACUGCCUCGGAUAACGAGGAGGAAGGUGGGGAUGACGUCAAGUCCUCAUGGCCUUUAUGUCCAGGGCUACACACGUGCUACAAUGGUCGGUACAAACCGUCGCAAACCCGUGAGGGGGAGCUAAUCGGAAAAAGCCGGCCUCAGUUCGGAUUGGAGUCUGCAACUCGACUCCAUGAAGCUGGAAUCGCUAGUAAUCGCGGAUCAGAACGCCGCGGUGAAUACGUUCCCGGGCCUUGUACACACCGCCCGUCACAUCACGAAAGUGGGCCGUACUAGAAGCAGGUGUGCUAACCGCAAGGAGGCAGCCUUCCAAGGUACAGCUCAUGAUUGGGGUG